RNAcentral lists this ribosomal RNA (497 nucleotides) under uncultured bacterium. RNAcentral describes it as "partial 16S ribosomal RNA". It matches the Rfam family "Bacterial small subunit ribosomal RNA", at positions 28 to 507 of the family's 1533-position model. The record is from RNAcentral.
GAUGAACGCUGGCGGCGUGCCUAAUACAUGCAAGUCGAGCGAACAGACGAGGAGCUUGCUCCUCUGACGUUAGCGGCGGACGGGUGAGUAACACGUGGAUAACCUACCUAUAAGACUGGGAUAACUUCGGGAAACCGGAGCUAAUACCGGAUAAUAUAUUGAACCGCCUGGUUCAAUAGUGAAAGACGGUUUUGCUGUCACUUAUAGAUUGAUCCGCGCCGCAUUAGCUAGUUGGUAAGGUAACGGCUUACCAAGGCAACGAUGCGUAGCCGAACUGAGAGGGUGAUCGGCCACACUGGAACGGAGACACGGUCCAGACUACUACGGGAGGCAGCAGUAGGGAAUCUUCCGCAAUGGGCGAAAGCCUGACGGAGCAACGCCGAGUGAGGGAUGAAGGUCUUCGGAUCGUAAAACUCUGUUAUUAGGGAAGAACAAAUGUGUAAGUAACUAUGCACGUAUUGACGGUACCUAAUCAGAAAGCCACGGCUAACUACGUG